CAAAAUUCUAAUCUUCAGGAUAGGAAUCCUGCAUCCAUUUUGCGUGAAAUCUGAAUAUCCUAUAUGAUAUAUGGAAUGCCAAUUCUAAAAUUUUUGUGUCGGCCUUUGCUUAGCCAUUUAUUACUGGAAACUCCAGUUGACCUUAUUCUGUACCCUGAUUCUAUCCAUGCCUUUAUCUUUUUCUGGACCGAUAAUUAAUUUUUGUCUGUAAUACCAUAGCUGAUUCUCUUUUACUGUGCAGAAUGUGUAGGG
This 252-nucleotide unclassified non-coding RNA is filed under the name Hevea brasiliensis (rubber tree). Lineage: Eukaryota; Viridiplantae; Streptophyta; Magnoliopsida; Malpighiales; Euphorbiaceae. The record is from RNAcentral.